UCCAUUGCUUACAAUAUUUCUUCUAUGAGAAACUAUACUAAAUAAUAUUUAAUUACAUAUUUUUUUAAUAUUCUAAUUCGAUUUCUACAAUUUAUGGUGAUUUUUCAAAGUUAGUCUACUACUACUGUCCAAACUGUUUUUGUGCAAGCUAUUAAUUACCAUGUUAUAACACCCUUAUUUUCUUUUUCUACACCAUUUCUCAUCACUUUCUCUUAUUUUCUCUUCACUAACAUAUCAGAAACAUAGGACCUUAU
Molecule: long non-coding RNA, 254 nt
Filed under: Gossypium barbadense (sea-island cotton)
Lineage: Eukaryota; Viridiplantae; Streptophyta; Magnoliopsida; Malvales; Malvaceae
Description: long non-coding RNA (GBAR_LNC012368)
Source: RNAcentral